This 134-nucleotide non-coding RNA is filed under the name Oleispira antarctica. RNAcentral's name for it is "TPP sequence". It matches the Rfam family "TPP riboswitch aptamer (THI element)". From Rfam's summary of the family: Vitamin B(1) in its active form thiamin pyrophosphate (TPP) is an essential coenzyme that is synthesised by coupling of pyrimidine and thiazole moieties in bacteria. The previously detected thiamin-regulatory element, thi box was extended, resulting in a new, highly conserved RNA secondary structure, the THI element, which is widely distributed in eubacteria and also occurs in some archaea. Analysis of operon structures identified a large number of new candidate thiamin-regulated genes, mostly transporters, in various prokaryotic organisms. RNAcentral also lists the same sequence under 1 other name. Lineage: Bacteria; Pseudomonadati; Pseudomonadota; Gammaproteobacteria; Oceanospirillales; Oceanospirillaceae. The record is from RNAcentral.
CCUCAUCCCAGGGGGUGGCGAGCUAGAGCAGUAUGUGACGAAAGUCAUCAUGUUUUAAUAAGCCUGAGAUGCAAUGCAAACUCCUUGAACCUGAUCCGGUUAAUACCGGCGUAGGAAUGGGCAGUUGAAUUGAU